Molecule: long non-coding RNA, 798 nt
Filed under: Prunus dulcis (almond)
Lineage: Eukaryota; Viridiplantae; Streptophyta; Magnoliopsida; Rosales; Rosaceae
Description: sRNA ncRNA
Source: RNAcentral
CUGGGAAAAUAACCAUUGGUUUUAAGAAACCCUAGCCGCACUCUGAUCCCCUUUCUCCUUGCUGACAACCAACCGCGAGGAAGCUAAGGGGGGGAGGUGGCCACUGCCCUUCCUCCCCUCCACCCAUCUUCCCCUUCCUCUCCUCAUCUCCCUUUUUUUUUUUUUUUUUUUUUUUCUCCAUAUUUUCCUUUUCUCUUAUCCCCUCUUCUCCUUCCCUUCCCCUCCCCAGAUAGUCUAGAUCUGUUUGGAUCUAGGUCUAUUUGUUUUGUUUGGUUGUUUUUGUAGUGUUCCAAGUGACUGGUGUUGUCUUUGUCUCGGCGGCGGUGACAAUAGUGACGCUGGAUUGUGUCUCUCCUUUGGAGAGUUGUGAUACUGGGUGGCUGAUAUUUUGUUUCUGUUUUAACGGCGGCUGCAGCAGCGACGCUGAUGGUAGUUGUUGGGAUGUGGUGCUCUUCUUUACUCUGCGCCGACCGAAGAACUAUGCUUGGUCAUAUGAGGUUUUCUUUGUCAGGUUCUGAGUCGAAGUGGAGUACUUCUUAUUGGUCUUUUUACUAUGGUUUAUGUGUUCGUCCUCCGUGUUCUCACCUGGUUUCUGCUAUGGUAUGACUUACAGUUUGUAUAGGUGUCAAAUGACUAUGAUUUUGCUCAUAGAAGGUUUCUUUUGACAAUUGGGAUGUCGUGGGGUCCUUUCAUGUGGGUUUACUAUUUGGGGUUUCUACGGUCCUCAUGUGGGUCUACUGUGUUGAUCUCUAGUUGCGGUUCUCGUCGGAGGUCUUUGUGUUAGGUUUUAUUUUUGAC